AAAGACUUUGAUUUCUCGUAAGGUGCCGAACGGGUCAAUAAGUAACACCGUCCGAUCCCUAGUCGGCAUAGUUUAUGGUUAAGACUACGACGGUAUCUGAUCGUCUUCGAUCCCCUAACUUUCGUUCCUGAUUAAUGAAAACAUCCUUGGCAAAUGCUUUCGCAGUAGUUAGUCUUCAAUAAAUCCAAGAAUUUCACCUCUGACAAUUGAAUACUGAUGCCCCCGACUGUCCCUAUUAAUCAUUACGGCGGUCCUAGAAACCAACAAAAUAGAACCACACGUCCUAUUUUAUUAUUCCAUGCUAAUGUAUUCGAGCAUAGGCCUGCUUUGAACACUCUAAUUUUUUCACAGUAAAAGUCCUGGUUCCCCAUCACGAUCAGUGAAGACCAUGAGGUUCCCCAGAGGGAAAGGCCCGGCCGAACCAGUGCACGCGGUGAGGCGGACCGGCCAGCCAGGCCCAAGGUUCAACUACGAGCUUUUUAACUGCAACAACUUUAAUAUACGCUAUUGGAGCUGGAAUUACCGCGGCUGCUGGCACCAGACUUGCCCUCCAAUUGUUCCUCGUUAAGGGAUUUAAAUUGUACUCAUUCCAAUUACAAGACCCAAAAGAGCCCUGUAUCAGUAUUUAUUGUCACUACCUCCCCGAAUCGGGAUUGGGUAAUUUGCGCGCCUGCUGCCUUCCUUGG
Molecule: ribosomal RNA, 686 nt
Filed under: fungal sp. CFK13
Lineage: Eukaryota; Fungi
Description: partial 18S rRNA
Source: RNAcentral